UACUAGCCCUGAUAGCAGUGGAAAUCCUUUUUUCACGCUUUUUUGCGUGGAAAAAGAUUGUAACGAAUAGCAGGAAAUAGC
Molecule: small RNA, 81 nt
Filed under: Flavobacterium fluvii
Lineage: Bacteria; Pseudomonadati; Bacteroidota; Flavobacteriia; Flavobacteriales; Flavobacteriaceae
Description: Flavobacterium sp. H7 Flavo-1 RNA
Rfam family: Flavo-1 RNA
Source: Rfam by way of RNAcentral